UCGCAUGUGUGAACGUUUGCUGCAGCCAAGUAAAGUCCAUUGUUCCUGCUCUUCCUCUCAUGUUCUUCUCUAAACCGCUUUCCUAGUAGUCAAUGUAGAUGCGCUGUAAUAAUCAUCUUCUCUCAACAGGGAUGCUGAGAAGCUCUAGUACAUAAGAAUUUCAUCUCUUUGACACCCAGUGGCACUUUAAAGCAUUAAAGCUUAAUGAAAUGACAACAUAUUAAGAAAUCUUUGCAUUCAAGUGCAAGAUAUGAAGGCUCUGUGUGUGGUGGAAUUCACAACCAGUCUGUGUGUUACCCAAACGCUACACCUGCCUUUGAAUGACAAGAGAGCCAGCCUGGGUUGUGUGGUAAUCUGUUGGAGGGGAGAGGGGUCAUGCUAUUGAAAUGCUAAUCAGACAGUGAGUGUUUGGACUGCUUGUGUGUGUUUGGACUGUGUGUUGAUGCGUUUUUGGCGGUGCGUGUGUGUGUUCAUGUCUGCCUUCGUCUACUGAACAACCACUGGUGACCCCAUUGUUUCUGUUUUCCGUUUACUCUGUUUCUUAAAUGCCAGACUGGUGAAAAAAGCUGUUUGUGGUGAUAGAAACGCCUCUAUUUUGCACCUCAAAUGAGACUAAUGGUGAAUAAAAACUAGCAGACUGAUUGUUGUUGUAAGUGGACAUGCUUGUAAACUUAAACAGUUAAUUCUGUGUCUCCUGGGAGCAGGGCUAAUGGUGUGCGCUGGCAGUUGUAGUGGAGUUGGGGGUUGUCGCAGGGGAGGGACCAUGGAGUUUUGAAUACGGCUGAUAGUUAGAAGGGGCUAUGGGAACAUGAAAGGGGAGGUUGAGUGUGCUGGUUUGGGAAGCCUCUCUGAUGGUUAAUGACCACCUGCUGGUAGUGCCACAUCCAUAUUGUGUUUGUAUGAAUGUGUGUGUAUCUUAAUGUUGCAGUAACGUUAUUCUUCUGGCAAUGGACAAUUUAGAAAGGGCAAGGAACAAUAGGGAUAGACGUCCAUUAAAAUUCCUUCCCUGGUGCUUGCCUUUACUCUUGUGAUUUAUUUUGCCACAGAGGCUAAAUACAAGGCCCUGUUCCCUCACUAUGGAAGACAUUUAGUCAUAAGCCAUAAACACGGCAUAUGGGUGGUUGAAAUAACAUUGUUUAAAUUAAGCAUAAAUGUAUCAUAUAAUGCAUUAGUAUAUUGGAUGACAGUACCUGCCCUGUCUAGGAUUUUAAUAAUUGUCAGUAAUAUUAUUACAAAUUAAAAUAGCUGUUUUCUAAUUGAAUAUAUUUUAAAAUGUAAUUUAUUUCUAUGGUGGCAAAGCUGAAUUUCAUUACUCCAGUCUUCAGUGUCACAUGAUCCUGCAGAAAUCAGUCUAAGGGGGCUUUCACACUGGAAGUUUAGUGCGGAACGGGGCACAGUUCGCAUGAAAAAUCGCUAAUGUGAACGCUGUCAUCGGACCCUGGUGCGCACUGGGGUACCGAACCCAAGACUACUUGGAGAAGGUGGUCUGAGUUAGGUUGCUCCUGAACUGUGGUGCGGUUCGCGUAAAUGUGCAAGCAACACGGACUCGGGUGCGCACUUGUUCAGGAAGUAAAUUAUCCCGCGCAUGCGUAACACUGUCAAUAUCAUUGUUUCCUCAACACACGAGACCCGAGGUAGAUUUUACACACUCCUAAACGUCAAAAUUAAAAUCAAAUAAUGAAAAUAAUUAAAAGUAAUUAUUAUACUGUGCAUAACAGCACCAAAAUAACAAAAAAAUUACAAAUAUGUUUAGUCGCGUUGUGUUUUAUUAGUUAAACGAAUGCAAAUCUUCCACCAAGAAAAACUGUUCCUAGCAAGAGUACAGCGCCAAAUUCAGUUACCCGGAGGAGUCUGUGUUAUCAGCUUUCACCGGUUGUUAUCGAGGGAUACAUACCUCUGAAUGUCGGGACUGACCAAUCAGAAUCAAGUAAAGGUAGUUUUAGAUUGUAGAACUUUUCUUCUAACUUUUGCGUGCUUUAAUGUCAUCCACCCUUAGUCAGUACAAGCUGAUCCUGUAUACAAAGGUACUGUUCUUAAGUCAAUCCAGUUCUCUUGUCUUCUGCAUUAAAGAUUAGUCAGCUGGUCUGACAGCUUGAGAUAUCGAUCCGUUAUGAAAUGCUGUAUCAGGCUUGGUUAUUAUUGCAUGGGGGGCAGAGAAUCUGUGCAUGACUAAGGCCACUAUAUGCACCACCAUAACUCAUGGAUGUUAUAAUGGAAAGCCCAGCAAAAGGUAUAAUUCAGUGUUAUAGUUGGGACAAAAGGUUGACUGCAGUUUGGACACUCUGAAACCCAAUAAUGUGGUGCAUCCAGACUAUUGCUCUUGAGAUCUCUGCCAAGGGAGAGGGGUGGAUGAAUACUUUGUUACUGACCCUUUAAAGUCAGUGGUACACUUUUAUGAUUGAGCCCAGAUCUUAGAUCAACUUAACUAAGAACCAUAUUUCCACUCGUCUUGACAUGUCUUGCUUUCAAAGGGACGCCUACACAUGCUGUGGUAUAAUACGGUAAUUUGCUUAGCCAAGAGCCCCUGCGGUACUGAUUGUGUAACUGCAGCUCUAGUUGGCCUUUCUGUGCGUUUGUUUGGUUACCAUUUUCAAGGUUAAUAAAGAGUUGAAAGGUGUUUUGCAUUGCAUUGACACUGUCCAGAGAAGGGCCACCGACAGUUUUAGAGCCCCGAGAGCUGGAUUAUGACUCAUGGCUCCUGGUAAAUCCACACUGUCUUUUGUCUGCUGACUCUGUAGGCAGCGAGAUGGCUAGCUAUCCAGCUGCAUUUCCACUGAGAUCUCAAACAAAACCAGCCAAGCGCACCUGAUACAGAAAAUGAGCAGCCAGCUUGAAUGUCCCCCGCAAUGUUUCUGUUGUCACUAGUGUGUUAUACUAUAUAUAACGGUGUUAUACUUUAGUGGACUAAAGUGUUUGAUCUUAGCUAUAGCAGGUUAACAGGUUCAAUAGGGUCAUUAGCCAAAACUAGCAUUUAGCAAAAACAUUAAUGUUAAAGUUAAGGCCAUUUCAAAAUAUAGUGUUUAAACUCUAUCUCGUACAUAUAGUUUUGAGGUAGAUGCUAAAUAGAUUUGAGAUGUAGGGUGGUCCAAAAUCUUUGUUUGGAUUGGUUUGUUACAUGAAAAAUCUCCAAAAAGAGCAGCUAGGACUGUGUGUGUCAGGGAUUGCUGUUGUCAUGAGAAAUUUGAGAGGUUUUUCUGUCAUGUUUAUGUGCACACUUGACAUUUCUUGUGAGCCGCACUUGAAAAGGCUGUGAACAUGAUGGUGCUUUGGGUGCUAGCCAGAAUUGAAUGUUGUGUUUGUUUGUGUGGGUUGCUCUCAUCUUAAAUGUCAGAUCUGUAAAGAAGUGCUGUUCUUCUACAGAUUUUUUGAGAAAAAUCAAACCACAUCUAAACAUUAGUAAAAAAAAGAAAAAAAUACUUGCUCUGCUUUCACAGAGGGAAAUCGAAUAAUGGAGGAGCAUUCCUAAAUCACUCAUCUCCUCCUGGACUUCACAGACAAAACUUCUCUAUUAUUUAUAGAUCAGAGAGCUUUGGGACAUGUUGUACAUUUGAAUGUUUUCAGGCAUGCUCUGAGACAAAGAAAUAGUGUUACAUCAAAUACGUUUAAUCCACUACCAUUCAAAAAUUUGGGGUUCGAGAUUAGAUUUAUUUAAUCAAGAAUACAGAAAGCAUUUUUUAUUGUGAAUAUAUUAUUACAACUUAAAACAACAGAUUUUUAUUUGAAUAUAUUUUAAAGUGUAAUUUAUUUCUGUGACGAUAAAGCAGAAUUUUCAGCAGCCAUUGUUCCAGUCUUCAGCGUUAAAAUGAUCCUUCAUUCAAUCAUUCUGAUAUGCUCAUUUUCUGCUCAAGAAACAUUUCUUAUUUUUAUAAAUGGUGAAAGCAUUUUUGUGGAAACUGAUACUUUUUUCAGAUUUCUACGAUGAAAGGAAAGUUCAAGAGAACUGUGUUGAUUUGAAGUAGAAAUCUUUUGUAGCAUUGUCUUUUCUUCGACUUUUAAUAUUUGUAAUUCAUCCUUGCUGAAUAAAAGUAAUUAUUUCUUUAAAAAAUAAACUUUUGAAUAGUAAUGUGCUUUCUGACCACUUCAUUUAAUCCACUCGCUUGAUGAGAGAACUUUCUUUAUUGGACUGUCCCUUUAAGCCAAGUAAUAAAAGGUUAUUGCUGUUGUCCAAUAAUGACACAUAAAAGUGUGCUUGAUUACACAAUAACCAUUGACAGAUUCCCACUUAUACAGCAGCCGUGAUUGGGCAUCACUAUGUGUUUGAAUCAAUACCUGGCUGCAUAUUCAGAGCAGAGUCACUGGCUUUUUAAUAAUAAGCCCACUGUAAGCAAUGUGGACACAUUGGUGGGUGUAUUUUAGCUCUUAACAUCCCAGAUAUUGGAUUUUAGCUGUGUUUAAGCUACGAUGCAACUUAGUCUGUACUCAGCAAUAAUGCAGGAAACACUGGAGGCAUGGGGGAUCAGCAGUACUGCAGCAUGACUGUAUCUGUCCGUCAUGUUAACCUUAAACAUCAGUAAAGAGCUAAGUCUGCAAACUGGCCCUGCUAUGAUUUUCAACAGUAAAUCGAAACAUCAUCUGUAAUUAUUAGUCAUACUCAAUUUUAAAACAACUGCAUUAAAGUGAAGCUUCCCUUCAAUUGUAUUUAUUUCAAAGAAAAUGUGUAUUUAUAAUAUAUAUAAUUCACAAAUCAUGCUUACUGUAAGUUAAUCAGUCACAUAAAAUCAAAUCACUUCACUGUCACUACACCAUGGACACAGAGUAAUGGUGAGUGAAAAGAUAAUAGCAAUUUCUUAUCCGCUUUCAUCAGUGAAAUACAUAUGAGUAAAUGUGAUAUAUGGAGUUUUUGGUUUAUAAUAUGAUGUGGAGUAUUUUGUGUAUUCAUGCAUGCCUAACAUUUAAAUCAGUCUGUCAGUAGUACAGUGUUAAUAAUGAAUGUUAAGUCUAGACAUUCCAGACAGUUCUGUCGAAGUGGGUGGGGGAGAUUCAGGUCGGGAUGGACCAAAAGUGGUCUUAGUUUCCAGCUAAUUUAUCUGGGGUCUCACUGCAGGAGACCCCUGCAACCCAUCUUACAUUACUGCAGUCAGAGUGUAUCUGAUAGGGCUGCAUUCAUCAGUCGCUGCUCUGCAGGGGGGACCUCUGUCAAAGCUUUACAUUAGCAGUGUACAGAUAUAUCAGUCAUCAGUAAUCUGCUCUUAUCUCCAAAGAUGCAGACAUGUGGGAAGAAUCAAAGUUUUACUCAGAUUUGCGACUAGACCUGUGAUGUUUAAUCCUGCGGCCGGCCUUUACAUUUCCUUUCCGUCCCAGAUCAGACCAGAAUAUAUUUUUCUUUUUUUAGGCUUUACCUCUAGCCAUUUUUAAUAAAUGCACAAGAUUAGUUUAAACACACUGCAGAUUUUAGUAAUCAGGAUAAGUUGUAAAUAAAGAUUAUUGGAGUAUGUUGGACAAGAAAAUACCCUUAGUCAUUUUAGUUCAACAUGUUGUGCUUAAUUCUGAGUCACUGCUUUGUAAAAGUUACUAGCAAUUUCUGUGAGAUUCCUGCUCCAGUUUUUUAUUUUUUAGUGUAUGUCUCCUUUCCUAAAUCUACCAUGUGGUGCGAGCGGAGAAGUGAGCAAAAAAAAUUACAUGUGACCUACAAAGGAAGGGGAGGGGCUCGCUGAGGUGUGAAUGUGAGAGGGGUCACUACACACUAGCACACUGCUGUACUCACCGAGAUACACUCUGAUAGUAUUGAGUACAGAAAAAGACAAACCUAAAAUAGGGAAGAGGGGAAAAUAUGGUUUAGCAUAAAGCGCAAGGGAUCAAAGCAACACAGUCUCACUCUCUACUCGUCAAAUGUCUGACGCAUGGUCAAGUGAUCUGGCGUCACUUUUUUGACGCACUGGGUAUACCUUUGGCGUUAUUUUUCAACGUGCAGGUUAGUCCGAUAGACUUCUAUAGAACUCAGUAGCGUUUAUAUUUGACGUCUUGGUUCAGCACACCGCAACUACACUGAAUAAAUAAAAAUAAAUAAUAGGCUACAAAAAUAUAUAUAUAUAUAUGACAGAGAUCGUUUUUAUCUGGCCCUCCAACUUGUUUUUGAGGUUUAAAUAUUCUCGCAAUCUGAUAUUAGAGUGAUCUCUGUGCCAAAGCUUAGCGCGUUCAUCAGUGGUGAGUUUAACAACACUCAACUGCAGGUAAAACAGCACUCAGCGGUGAGUUUGACCAAAGCAACACUCAACUGCAGGGAAAACGGCAUAAAAAGUUCAUCAUCUCUAUGAAAUCACGUUCAAGAAGUCUCAUUCAGCACACAUCGCGAUACUUGCCAUCAGUUUCCAUGUGCCACAGGGUCGCUGAAAAGAUGUAAAGGAAGCAGUCAUCCCUGUGGUUUUGUGGAGAGGUUUUCCUUCAGAAAUGGAGAAGACUGAAAGCUGAGGAGGCAGACAUUUGCAGCAGAUUGUUCGCAGAUAAUGAUGUUCUUCUCGAUCAUGCACAAGGACUCACCUCUUUAACUCUUUAUCUUCCCAACACACACAGAAAUGCUCCCUUUAUCAGUGUUUAGACUUUGCAGUGCAGUUUUGUUUUAGUUCUAAGCUUAUAAUGAAUACAUUGUGACCUUCCAGCAACCCAUAUAUUGUAUACAGAACCAGUGAUCAAAACAAUGGUUGAAAAUAGUAUUUUUAUAUUGAUAAAGCAUUGUGUUCUCUUUUUCAAGCUUCAUACAGUAAACUUUACUUCUGGUGCUUUUAUCAUAAAAAAACAAACAUCAGUUCUCAUCAGGAGUUUUCGUAAAGGACGUAUUCAUGCACAGCCAUCCCCUAGUUCCAGUCAUGAAGUGAAUGAUGUUAUUGUCAGUUUUAUUUCUGCAAUUUUAUGUAGCAGGUGUUUGUUUUCCUGAACGUUAUCUUUCUUCCAUUGUUCGGACAAUCAGUGUUUAUUUGAUGCUGUGCUGAUGGAGGUUUAUAGAUGAUAUUGCACACUUGACAUGCAUGUCUUCAUGGUCUUUAUUUUCUGAGUUUGAAACAGUGUGUUGUAUCACUUUUUGGUCAAAUAAAUUCUUCAGUGUUCUCUGAAA
Carassius gibelio (silver crucian carp) is the source of this 7048-nucleotide long non-coding RNA. RefSeq lists it as uncharacterized. The transcript has 4 exons. The record is from RefSeq and is a predicted model, not a curated record. NCBI's taxonomy places the organism in Eukaryota, Metazoa, Chordata, Actinopteri, Cypriniformes, Cyprinidae.